Molecule: ribosomal RNA, 914 nt
Filed under: Staphylococcus aureus M0834
Lineage: Bacteria; Bacillati; Bacillota; Bacilli; Caryophanales; Staphylococcaceae
Description: bacterial SSU rRNA
Rfam family: Bacterial small subunit ribosomal RNA
Source: RNAcentral
AGAGUUUGAUCCUGGCUCAGGAUGAACGCUGGCGGCGUGCCUAAUACAUGCAAGUCGAGCGAACGGACGAGAAGCUUGCUUCUCUGAUGUUAGCGGCGGACGGGUGAGUAACACGUGGAUAACCUACCUAUAAGACUGGGAUAACUUCGGGAAACCGGAGCUAAUACCGGAUAAUAUUUUGAACCGCAUGGUUCAAAAGUGAAAGACGGUCUUGCUGUCACUUAUAGAUGGAUCCGCGCUGCAUUAGCUAGUUGGUAAGGUAACGGCUUACCAAGGCAACGAUGCAUAGCCGACCUGAGAGGGUGAUCGGCCACACUGGAACUGAGACACGGUCCAGACUCCUACGGGAGGCAGCAGUAGGGAAUCUUCCGCAAUGGGCGAAAGCCUGACGGAGCAACGCCGCGUGAGUGAUGAAGGUCUUCGGAUCGUAAAACUCUGUUAUUAGGGAAGAACAUAUGUGUAAGUAACUGUGCACAUCUUGACGGUACCUAAUCAGAAAGCCACGGCUAACUACGUGCCAGCAGCCGCGGUAAUACGUAGGUGGCAAGCGUUAUCCGGAAUUAUUGGGCGUAAAGCGCGCGUAGGCGGUUUUUUAAGUCUGAUGUGAAAGCCCACGGCUCAACCGUGGAGGGUCAUUGGAAACUGGAAAACUUGAGUGCAGAAGAGGAAAGUGGAAUUCCAUGUGUAGCGGUGAAAUGCGCAGAGAUAUGGAGGAACACCAGUGGCGAAGGCGACUUUCUGGUCUGUAACUGACGCUGAUGUGCGAAAGCGUGGGGAUCAAACAGGAUUAGAUACCCUGGUAGUCCACGCCGUAAACGAUGAGUGCUAAGUGUUAGGGGGUUUCCGCCCCUUAGUGCUGCAGCUAACGCAUUAAGCACUCCGCCUGGGGAGUACGACCGCAAGGUUGAAACUCA